ACAGGUCAAAUAAUCACCCCCCAGGACAUUGGUACCAAUAUAAACCAAAUGAAAUAUCACCAUAAACAUGAUUUUGGCCAUAGCCAUGAUAUUUGGUUUUAUACUGCAACAUAAAUCAAAAAAUGUGGAAACAACUGUUACAAACUGACAAUGGAUAAACCUUUAGUCAGAAACAAUAAUACCAAACAAUUAAGAUUAAUCCACCAAAUCAUAGAUGAAUAUGAUACUGUAAGAAUCUUUAGUAUUGUUAUAUUAUAUUGUAUUAUGCAUGGUUUUAUGUUUCUUAUACCUCACUGAGAGCAGACAGAGUCAAAUGGAAUCCCUAUGGAGAUGUGAAGGAGGUGUUUUUGUGCUGGAGUAUAUCACUGUGAUAUGGGGUUUGGGGACACAGUGAAAUGAGGCUGUACAAAAACCUCGGAGACAAAACCUGCAUUAUAUUUGCCUGGGGAUUGGGACAAUAUGGAGAAACCAUACAGUAUUCUUCAAAUGACCGUCUGAUGUUGAUAUAACCCCAUUGUACUUUUUUUUACAUUUUCAAAAAGUAUGUUUUGAUGGAGUGAUGUCAUGACAUGGACCUGAGCAUCAGAUUUUAAAAGGUGCAGUGUUUUUGUACAGGCAUUGGAUGGAGACAUAGCACUGUGAUGCUUUUGACUACUGGGGUAAAGGGACACAAGUCACCGUCUCAACAGCAACCACAGCCCCCUCUUCCCUAUUCCCUCUUAUGAACUGUGGAACCCCUUCUAACGACAUCUACAGCAUCGGUUGUGUCGCUACCGGCUUUUCGCCUUCCUCAAUCACCUUCAAAUGGACAGACGCCAGCGAGAGUCCGCUGACAGACUUUGUCCAGUACCCUUCGGUUCAGAGCGGGGGAGCCUACAUCGGAGUCAGUCAGGUCCGCGUGUCUAAGAAUGACUGGGAAAAGUCAAAGUCUUUCAGGUGUUCUGUGGAACAUCCUGGAGGUGGAAAGACAGCAGUCAUCAAAAAAACAGUCCCAAAGUCUCCAACAGUGUCUUUGCUGUCGGCGCCCAUUGGCACCACCCAGUACCUGAUGUGUAUGAUUGAAGAUUUCACCUCCAACACAGUCACUGUCACCUGGAAGAAGAAUGACAUGGAGGUGGAGGGCCAGACCCCUACUCUAGUCAAACAGCCGUCAGGCCUCUACUCAGGCAGCAGUCUGCUGAAGGUCAUCAACACUAACUGGAACAACAAGGUCAAGUACAGCUGUGUGGUGCAGCACCAGGAACAAACCAUCAACAAGACGAUCUCCAAAACAGAACCACUGACGGUGACUCUGAACCCACCGCGUGUGAGAGAGGUGUUCUUGGACAACCAAGCAGUGCUGGAAUGUGUCAUCACUGGUACAGACCAGGACACAGUGUCUGGUACCACUAUCACUUGGCAGGUCAAUGGAGAGGACAAGAUGGAUGGCAUCGAUCUGAAAAAUAUUGAAUCAAAGGGCAACCUGAACAGCAGGGUCAGUACUCUGACCAUAGGCCAGACGGAGUGGACCAAUGUGAACAAAGUCCAGUGUUCUGCCAUGAAGAGUGGUGAAGACACACCGGUCAUUCAGGACCUCAGCUUCACCAAAGGAAGUGUAGCCCCUUCAGUGUCUGUCCACCUUCUACCGGAGGAAGACACCAAGAAGGAGGGGGAAGUGACUCUGGUGUGCCUGGUGGUCUGCCCGUCUCUCUGUGAUGUUUACAUCAUGUGGCAGGUGGACAGCGGUCAGUACCAGGAGGGGGUCACCAGCCCUCCUCAGAAAACCCAGAAAGCCAACUACUUCGUCACCAGCGUCUUCACCACCACCAAGGAUAAGUGGGAGAGAAACUUGGUUUUCACAUGCGCCGUCAAGCAUGCCGGCUCGGACAACAACACCGCACUUAAGGAGAGGAGAGUGUCCAAGUCCAUGGCGAACAUCCUACUGACUGAGCCUGAGGCGGGCUUCGCUCUGAGCUGCACAGACAACGAUGAGGAUGAGUUCAGCAGCCUGUGGUCCACCACCUCCUCCUUCAUCAUCCUCUUUCUUCUCUCUCUCACCUACAGCACAGUACUCAGCCUGGUCAAGAUGAAGCAGUGAAGAACACAUGAUGGACUGCAGAGAUAGAUGUGUCUAGAUUAGAAAGAUAAUGGUCUGUGAUGGUUAUAGCAUAGUGUUCUUCAGUAAUAAUGUUAUGUAUAUAUCCAAUACAUUAUUGAUUAUGAUUGAUUAGUAUUGUUGUUCUCAAUAUUAUUCAAGCAUUGUGGUGAUAUGUUAUUUUUAAUUCAUUGAUUUAUAUUGUACAGUAUCUUAAAAUAUAAGUGUAUACUGUGAUGUCUGUGUGUCCUUUUUCACUUUAAGUUGUUGUCUUUUUACUGAGACAUCCACUGGAUGCUAACACUGGGCCAACGACACGUCCUAUAUACAAAUACAUUACUGAUUGGAGUGUUUCUGCUUGGCAGAGUUAUCUAUGGAGCCAAUUUACAGCUGUAGUUCCUCCCAGGACAGAUUAAAACAACGUUAGGAUAUCUGUAAUACUCAACUAAGACUUCAACAUUCUGUUAUCAGUUGAUCUGUGGUGGUUUCUUGGUUCUCUAACUUGUCUAAUAAUAGUAUAAUGCAAAAGCAGCUUCCUCUCUCUCUAUCCCCUUGAUACCACACCUGUGGCAAUGAAACUGUCCAGCAACUGCCAGGGCCACAAAUACACUUCCUUGAAAAAUGUACAACAGCAAUGUACGCACGCUUGCACACAGAAAUAUACUGUAUAUAUAGUGAGCUACAAAAGUAUUGGAACAGAGACACGUUUGGUGGAUUUGGCUCUGGACUCCAGCAUUUUAGAUUUGAAAUGAUUCAAUGACAAUGAGGUUAAAAUGCAGACUAUCAACUUUAAUACGAGGGAAUUUUCAUCUAUAUCUGUUGACCCAUUUAGAAAUUACAGCACUUUCUGUACAUUGUCCCCCAAUUUUACAAAUCUGCUUAUUAUACAGUACAGUAUAUUAAAGUAGUCAAAUCUGCUUAUUAUAGUUUAGUAUUUGGUCCCAAAUUCCGAGCACAUAAUAAUUACAUUAAGCUUGUGACUCUACAAAUUUGUUCAAUGCAUUUGCUGUUUGUUUUGGUUGUGUUUCAGAUAGUUUUUGUGCCCAAUAAAAUAAAUGGUAAAUAA
Molecule: non-coding RNA, 3140 nt
Organism: Salmo salar (Atlantic salmon)
Lineage: Eukaryota; Metazoa; Chordata; Actinopteri; Salmoniformes; Salmonidae
Source: the annotation of a RefSeq genome assembly